CCUACGGGCGGCAGCAGUCGAGAAUCAUUCACAAUGGGGGAAACCCUGAUGGCGCGACGCCGCGUGGGGGAAUGAAGGUCUUCGGAUUGUAAACCCCUGUCAUGGGGGAGCAAAUUAAAAAGAUAGUACCACAAGAGGAAGAGACGGCUAACUCUGUGCCAGCAGCCGCGGUAAUACAGAGGUCUCAAGCGUUGUUCGGAAUCACUGGGCUUAAAGCGUGCGUAGGCUGUUUCGUAAGUCGUGGGGGAAAGGCGCGGGCUCAACCCGCGGACGGCACAUGAUACUGCGAGACUAGAGUAAUGGAGGGGGAACCGGAAUUCUCGGUGUAGCAGUGAAAUGCGUAGAUAUCGAGAGGAACACUCGUGGCGAAGGCGGGUUCCUGGACAUUAACUGACGCUGAGGCACGAAGGCCAGGGGAGCGAAAGGGAUUAGAUACCCCUGUAGUC
RNAcentral lists this ribosomal RNA (446 nucleotides) under uncultured bacterium. RNAcentral's name for it is "partial 16S ribosomal RNA". It matches the Rfam family "Bacterial small subunit ribosomal RNA", at positions 338 to 795 of the family's 1533-position model. The record is from RNAcentral.